RNAcentral lists this long non-coding RNA (228 nucleotides) under Elaeis guineensis (African oil palm). RNAcentral's name for it is "long non-coding RNA (EGUI_LNC048503)". The record is from RNAcentral. Lineage: Eukaryota; Viridiplantae; Streptophyta; Magnoliopsida; Arecales; Arecaceae.
UUGAGAGAAACUUGAUUAAAUACUUAGAGAAGAUACUUUAGUUGGUACGUCACACAAUCAAUUCCUUCGAGCUUGAAUUGAAUGAAGGAUGGUUGACUUGAAUGCUCUCUUAAAUUUUUUAUUGCUUUUUUGGCACUUUGUUCUUUGUUCUUUUUUCUUUUCUCAAAAAUUAUUGUUUUCCAAUUAAAUUCUCCACUUAAAUACCUUCGAAAAUGGCUAAAGAGGGCA